This 279-nucleotide ribosomal RNA is filed under the name uncultured bacterium. Its description in RNAcentral is "partial 16S ribosomal RNA". It matches the Rfam family "Bacterial small subunit ribosomal RNA", at positions 506 to 784 of the family's 1533-position model. The record is from RNAcentral.
UGCCAGCCGCCGCGGUAACACGGGGGGCGCAAGCGUUAUUCGGAAUUAUUGGGCGUAAAGGGCGCGCAGGCGGUCUUGUCCGUCAGGUGUGAAAGCUCGGGGCUCAACCCCGGAACUGCCUCUAAUACUGCUAGUCUUGAGUUCGAGAGAGGUGAGUGGAAUUCCGAGUGUAGAGGUGAAAUUCGUAGAUAUUCGGAGGAACACCAGUGGCGAAGGCGGCUCACUGGCUCGAUACUGACGCUCAUGUACGAAAGCGUGGGGAGCAAACAGGAUUAGAUA